Molecule: long non-coding RNA, 758 nt
Filed under: Serinus canaria (Common canary)
Lineage: Eukaryota; Metazoa; Chordata; Aves; Passeriformes; Fringillidae
Description: lncRNA (ENSSCAG00000011583.1)
Source: RNAcentral
AUUGUCAAGGAAAGAAGAGGUUAUGUGUUUAUUUCAGCUUAAGUGCAUGCUCUAGGUCUGGGUAGAUGACAUCCAGAGGUCCCUUUCAAAAUAAAAUUUUCUCUGAUGUAUUAACAAGAGUGUCUGUAUGUACAACAAGUGUAUCUGCAUGUAUGAAACAAAGUAAAAAUAUAUUUUUUUUAAUCUUUGCAGACAACAAUAUGCCCAAGUAGGGAUAUUGCAGGAAUGUUUUGUUGCCUCCAGAAUAGUUCUGCACUUGCACACCAAUGUGUGAGAACUCUUUACUGUGGCAGAACAGUUCAUGGAGGUCUGGAGUGGACACAUGUAGGCCACGCUCCUUGAUACAGCUCCCCACACCUCUGAUUUCUUCAGUUGUAUUAUACCACCUGGAAUGGAAAGGAAAGGAAAUGUUGACUGAAAACUGCUGUCAGCUAGAGGUGAACUCUUUCCUAUGGCCUUGUAUGAGACUACUUCAGUGUCGUCCUGCAGAGAAGACAGCUCAUGUCUACAGCCCCAGAUGUGCUGAUGGGUCAGUACAGAAUAAUAAAGAUGUAAUUGCAUUCAUCCAUGCAUUCAGCAUAAUAAUAAAAAACCCUCAAGUUCUAGAUUUUAAAAAAAUAAUAACAUUUGGAGUUACUUCUACAAAUAGAUUCCUUGCUGGACUAAUACAGAACUUCUUGGAAUGGAGUAUUUCUAGCAUUGAUAUAAAGAAGAAAAAGAGAUUAAUAUCUGAGAACAAAGCUGUAAGACUGUAUUGA